CAAAAUUGGCAGAUAAUUCUUUUUCCUUCUUUUGGUUUUCCCGUUGAAGUACACGUGUUUCAGGACUCUAAAAAUACUAGCAUACUUAGCAGAAAAGCAUUAAUCACAAAGUACAGUCGAUCAUACUUCUGUAGCCUCAUCCCAUACUCUAAUUUAGCUUCCGAAUAGAUUAACUUCAGUAUCAAACCUUAGUCACUAGAGACUUAAAGAAGGUACAAAAGCAUAUAUUUAUCAAGGAAAUCUAAUUAAACAUACCUGAUGAUAGUUUAG
RNAcentral lists this long non-coding RNA (270 nucleotides) under Nicotiana benthamiana. RNAcentral's name for it is "long non-coding RNA (NBEN_LNC012405)". The record is from RNAcentral. Lineage: Eukaryota; Viridiplantae; Streptophyta; Magnoliopsida; Solanales; Solanaceae.